CAUUACCGAGUUAGGGUUCUCUCUUCGAGGCCCGAUCUCCCAACCCUUUGUCUACCUUACCUUUUGUUGCUUCGGCGGGCCUGUCUCUGUUGAUUCAGGACUGUCGGGGGUGCUAACCCGCCCCUGGCUCGUUGCCCGUCGAUAGCCAACCAUUAAACUCUUGAUAAAUCAUGUCGUCUGAGUAUGAAAUUAAAUUAAAAGCAAAACUUUCAACAACGGAUCUCUUGGUUCUGGCAUCGAUGAAGAACGCAGCAAAAUGCGAUAAGUAAUGCGAAUUGCAGAAUUUCCGUGAGUCAUCGAAUCUUUGAACGCACAUUGCGCCCUUUGGUAUUCCGAAGGGCAUGCCUGUUCGAGCGUCAUUAUCACCCCUCAAGCUCUGGCUUGUUGUUGGACUUUAGGGGCGGGCCGCUUGGCCCUCCCUGGUCCCAAAGACAAUGACGGCGUCCGCGGGACCCUCGGUGCAAUGAGCCUUAACCAGCACGCACCAGAGUUGCAAGGUCCCCAGACCCGGUCUACCCUUUUAUUUUUCUAAGGUUGACCUCGGAUCAGGUAGGAAUACCCGCUGAACUUAAGCAUAUC
This 579-nucleotide small RNA is filed under the name uncultured fungus. RNAcentral's name for it is "eukaryotic LSU rRNA". The stretch from base 205 to 359 matches the Rfam family "5.8S ribosomal RNA". The record is from RNAcentral. Lineage: Eukaryota; Fungi.